GUACUCUUUUGUUUGCUUUCAAGACAUAGGACGACAGGUGUAAAUGGGCGCCUCCCCGGGGGGAGACGCCCUGUUGUUCACAGUUGUUUGGUUUGAAGAGGCCCGGCAGUUCCCCGGAGUGGGUCACGUGCCAAGCCGUCUCGUAUCAAUAAUGAUCCUUCCGCAGGUUCACCUACGGAAA
This 181-nucleotide unclassified non-coding RNA is filed under the name uncultured fungus. RNAcentral describes it as "sequence contains ITS1". The record is from RNAcentral. Lineage: Eukaryota; Fungi.